CUCCCCUCAACCCUCGGUGUUUCUCUUUCUCCACAGUCCCUUUGUAUUUCUCUAAAUCUCCCCAGCACCUUUGUGUGACUAUUAAUCACUACAGUCCCUUUAUGUGUCUCUUUCUCCCCUUCUCCAGUCCCCUUGUAGAAGGGGAGCUGUUUUCACACUCGUUUGAUGAAUAAGUAAGUCUUAAUGUGCUGCUAGUUGCAUUAAGAUUAGGACUGAUGCAAUGUUUGCUGUUGGAGAGAAUAUCUU
Molecule: non-coding RNA, 246 nt
Organism: Pelobates cultripes (western spadefoot toad)
Lineage: Eukaryota; Metazoa; Chordata; Amphibia; Anura; Pelobatidae
Source: the annotation of a GenBank genome assembly